This 493-nucleotide unclassified non-coding RNA is filed under the name uncultured fungus. RNAcentral describes it as "partial contains 5.8S ribosomal RNA, internal transcribed spacer 2, and large subunit ribosomal RNA". The record is from RNAcentral. Lineage: Eukaryota; Fungi.
AACGCACAUUGCGCCUGAGCCUCCUGGCUUGGGCAUGUCUGCCUCAGCGUCUGUUUAACACCUUGCGCCCCAGCACACUCCGGUGUGAUGGCGGCCGCAGAACUGGCCCCUGGGACCCCUCGGACCUCCCCUGGCUUGCUUCGGCUCGCACUGGGGGGCCGAGGCCCCACCGGCUUAUGAACGGAGGGCCUGCCCCAUCCCGCACUUGCAAUUGCCUGGUGCAGUGCAAGCGGUGCCGGCUUCAACGGUCUGGUGGCCCCGUGCCUCUGCCUUGAACCGCCCACUGCAUUGCCAGCACGGAAAGGUGAGCAGCGUUACGUGCCGGGAGCGGAGGGUUCUGCUCGGACUUGCGGCUAACCCCGUAGCCCCUGCUGACCCGCCGUAUAAGCUUGCCCACGCCUCCCUGCAGGGUUGUGCCUCGGCACUCCCCUUCCGGGUGGCGAGCCCCUUAACCUAUGACCUGAGUUCAGGCAGGGCCACCCGCUGAACUUAA